UACGUAGGGAGCAAGCGUUGUCCGGAAUCAUUGGGCGUAAAGCGCGCGUAGGUGGCUUCGUAAGUCCGUUGUGAAAGUCAAAGGCUCAACCUUUGAAAGCCGAUGGAUACUGCGGAGCUAGAGUACGGAAGAGGCGAGUGGAAUUCCUGGUGUAGCGGUGGAAUGCGCAGAUAUCAGGAGGAACACCAAUGGCGAAGGCAGCACUCUGGGACGGUACUGACGGCUCAUGCACGAAAGCGUGGGGAGCAAACAGG
Molecule: ribosomal RNA, 254 nt
Filed under: uncultured bacterium
Lineage: Bacteria
Description: partial 16S ribosomal RNA
Rfam family: Bacterial small subunit ribosomal RNA
Source: RNAcentral